AUACGUAGGGGGCAAGCGUUGUCCGGAAUUAUUGGGCGUAAAGCGCAUGUAGGCGGUUUUGUAAGUCGGUCGUGAAAACGCGGGGCUUAACCUCGGAAGGGCAUUGGAACUGGCGAACCUGAGGGCAGGAGGGGGAAGGGGGAAUCCCAGGGGUACGGGGAAAAUAGGUAGAAAUUGGGAGGAACACCGGUGGGGAAGGGGCCUUUCUGGACUGUUUCUGACGCGCAGAUGCGAAAGCCAGGGUAGCGAACGGGAUUAGAUACCCCGGUAGUCCUGGCCGUAAACGAUGGGUACUAGGUGUGGGAGGUAUCGACUCCUUCCGUGCCGGAGUUAACGCAUUAAGUACCCCGCCUGGGGAGUACGGCCGCAAGGCUUAAACUCAAAUGAAUUGACGGGG
Molecule: ribosomal RNA, 397 nt
Filed under: uncultured bacterium
Lineage: Bacteria
Description: partial 16S ribosomal RNA
Rfam family: Bacterial small subunit ribosomal RNA
Source: RNAcentral